Molecule: non-coding RNA, 74 nt
Organism: Podarcis lilfordi (Lilford's wall lizard)
Lineage: Eukaryota; Metazoa; Chordata; Lepidosauria; Squamata; Lacertidae
Source: the annotation of a GenBank genome assembly
GCCCAGCAUAGCUCAGUCAGUAGAGCAGGAGAUGCUUUAUCUCAGGGUUGUGGGUUUGAGCCCCAAGUUAGGCA